AUUUAUAUAGCUUAUAAUUUAGAGCAUAAUAUUGAAGAUAUUAAGGAAAAUUUUUAUUUUAUAAAUA
Molecule: transfer RNA, 67 nt
Filed under: Negha inflata
Lineage: Eukaryota; Metazoa; Arthropoda; Insecta; Raphidioptera; Inocelliidae
Description: tRNA-Phe
Source: RNAcentral